Bombus terrestris (buff-tailed bumblebee) is the source of this 2989-nucleotide long non-coding RNA. RefSeq lists it as uncharacterized. The transcript is spliced from 2 exons. The record is from RefSeq and is a predicted model, not a curated record. Lineage: Eukaryota; Metazoa; Arthropoda; Insecta; Hymenoptera; Apidae.
UCUUCUUCUCUUGCCUUUUCUCUUUUUCUUUCCUUUCCUUCCUUUUCCUCUUUUCCUUCGAUUCUUUCUUUCUUAACCUUAACGACCAAAUCCCAUUUCUCUCCUCUUUCACGAGGCUAAGGUUAAAUAUAAGCAUGGAUGGAACAAGUCACUCACCUCACGAGUGCAUUUCAGCGUGAUGCGGCAAUGCGGCUGGACGGCGUUUUCUAAAAUUACAUGAAAAAGAAGAAUUAAUCGAAGAAAGAUUCAAAGGACGAUCAUAUACUUUGCCUUCCAAUCGACAAUCGACUAACGUUCUACUUUCAGCCGUUUUUGAUAGCGCAUGAAACACGCUAAAAAAGGGAAUAUUUACAUAUCGAAAAGGGCGAAUAACUUCUUACCCAAACUAUCGUCUGAUGCGAAAGAUGCUAUUGGAACUCGAGCGAAAAAUUUUCUUUUAAAGAUUCGUAAUAUAAAUACAUAGGUCUUGAUUAUCUCGAAACGAGCGAGACGGGUGAAAUGAUCCAGUUGUCGAUUCGCGACGAUACAUGAUCAUCGAGGGAGACCUUGCAGUAAUGUGCUUACGCGUCGCGGGGAGAGAAACCCCGCGCCAAUAAUCCGUAACAUUAUAUAACUGUUGGUAAUGCUCCAUUCGCGCGUGAAACGAAUCGCGUAGUAACUAAGUACUACGCCUGUAUACAAUAAAUAUUGCUUGUGCUGUUACUUGUUGUACAUUGCACAUUGUACAAGAAUAUCUAAAGUUUCGAAUCUCACCAUUCUGUUUAAAAACAUACUCAGAUACAUUUAUGCGUUUGCGAUCUUUACGUAGCUGUUCCAAUGCUUUCUAAAAAUCCACGCCUUAAUACAUGGGCUAUUAUCGUAUAAACGAACUGUUAUGCUUCACUAGGUAUAUGCUAAUGAAAAAUACAUGAAACUAUGGAAAAUCGAAGAUAAAAUAAUUUACAUCGUGCUGUUUGUUAAAAAGUAUUGCACUGUCGUGAAUUGAAUGUAUCAGAACAGCAUGGUAAUGAAGAAGAUUUACAGAAUUGAUACAGAUCGUAUUAGCUAGGUUAUAACCUACUUCACAUGCAUGAACGACAGCACGAUUUUCUUUCUGCUAUUUUGGGAAUUUUCUUAUCCAAGGAUAAGAUAACUACUUAAAUAUUGUCUCAACGUUCAACAAAUUUCGUAAAGUAAAUGAUAGUUUUUCUGCUAUGCUUUACACUGGACUGCAUAAAACUUCAUCAAGGCAAUGUAUUUGAUAACGAACAUAUUUUGUGGCAGAAAACCAGAAAGAGAAAUAUUUUCUUUUUUUGUGAAGCGCGCGAAAGCGUGACUAUGCACGAUGAAGCUUUCUCUCUCUCUUUGUUGUAUGCUUUGCCAUAAGCUUUCACGGUCUCGCGACACCAGUGCUUAGUUCCAGUAUGAACGCGAGAACGCGUCCAAGUCCAAACUCAUCGUAUCGUACGAAGUAUAUACGUACAUACGGCAAGCAAAGAGGAAGACGUUCAGAGCGUGCACUAUGCACUACAACGGUUAGGCACACACACACGUACACACGCACGCGCAUUUCUGCGUAUGCAAUAUAGUGAAUAAGGAAUAAGGAAUAAGGAAUACAUAUUAUUAAGUAGAAAAUUCAAUCCUUUAUUAUUGUAAAAAAUGAACAAGACAUAAUAAAAAGAUACGCUCGAAAUUAUAUAUAUAUUGUAAAGUAUUUUUUUCGUUUUCUUAUGCAAAGAAAAUCGUGCUGUUUUAGAAUGAACCAAUGCAUGAAGAACAACAUGGAUAGGCUAUUUUUGGGCUUAUGUUUAUACCGAUAUAAAAUGAAUAAGACAAGAUAGAAACUUCUCUAACAAGUCAAGGAAGGGUACUUAUGAAACAUUGAAUUAAUGGAAAUCGCAAUAAAAAUGUGAUACGCAGAUCGAAAACGAUAUGUAUUAAACAGGAAUCAAUCGUACCAUAAAAUAAUGUUUAAAAGUUAAGAAUUGUAACUCCAUAACUAAAAAAGCGCGUGCGAUAACUAGUAUUCAGUAUAAUAUAUAGGCAUUUCUUAAAAAAUGGAAAAAUUCUAUUUUCACGUGGCAUCUCUUUCUGUUAUUUAUUAAUUUCAUUCACAUUAACUUGAUUUUGGUGGCUAUUUAGCGAUAGACACACAGCUACUAGUGUAUGUCAAGUUUGCAAGAGUAAACAAACUGAGAACUGUCAUUCGAUCGAUGUAACAGCUGUGAGACAGAUGGAAGAUUCGGAUAGAAAUGAUUGGUUGUGUUUCUUCGGUAUUAUUUGCAAAGAAAAAAUACAUUCUCAGCGAGAAUGAAAAAAAACAAAAGGGAAAGGAUAAGAAUCAGUGAUGGCAGUACUCACCGAAGUAAAAGAGAAAGUGUUUUAUUGUUGGCGCAUUCGAGGAUUUUCUUCUUUUCCCAACCUUCAACAGUUUUUACCCAUUCUUCGCCAGGACUGCGCCAAUCCUUCGAUAUGAAUGGCAUCGUUCGCAAGAUAUAUAAUUGUACGAUAUGCUUGCUCUGCUUACGUGUGCAAACCACGAGCGAUCCUUCGACUAACGAUCAAAUAUAUUAAGGAACGCACCUCACUGGACCACGGACGCUCAAUGUUUGCUCACAAGACAGUUCGGUCUGCUCGGUUUACUUCGCGGCUGCGAUCGACCGCGCAUGGCUUUGUUUUACUGACGUCACUUAGGUAUCAGCUGUGCAACUGACAUGACAAACCAGUGCACUCCGAACAACUCUGAAUCACACGUUCGGCCAUUUUAAAAUGUAUAUGUUACGCAUGCGCAAUUUUGUCUUGAAGAAGCUCGACAUUCACACGUUAUUUAUUUCGAUUUGUCAUCUCGUUCGAUUUAUUUUCUUUCUCCCGGUUACUUUUAUUAGUUACAAGGAAUAUAUCGAUUGGUUAUUUUUUGUUAGCUAUUUGCAAAAGUGAAAUCUUACAAACAUGUGUCAUAACCAAUAUGUUUUUAUUAUAUAAAGAAAAUACAUAUGUAUAUACAACUGUA